UGAGUACGAGAUGCUACGGCAUCGAAGCAGUCUAUGUCAUACUUCCAAGAAAAGCUUGCACUGUCAGAAACAGAUAAUGCCUGUACCAUAACCGACACAGGUGGGUAGGUAGAGUAUACUAAGGGGCGCGAGAUAACUCUCUCUAAGGAACUCGGCAAAAUGACUCCGUAACUUCGGGAGAAGGAGUGCCUUAUUUUUAAGGUUGCAAUAACAAGAUCCAAGCAACUGUUUACCAAAAACACAGGUCUCCGCUAAGUCGUAAGACGAUGUAUGGGGGCUGACGCCUGCCCAGUGCCAGAAGGUUAAAGAAGUCGGUUAGCAUUCGCGAAGCUGGUAACUGAAGCCCUGGUGAACGGCGGCCGUAACGAUAACGGUCCUAAGGUAGCGAAAUUCCUUGUCGGGUAAGUUCCGACCCGCACGAAAGGCGUAAUGAUUUGGAUACUGUCUCGGAGAGGGGCUCGGUGAAAUAGACUUGUCUGUGAAGAUGCGGACUACCUGCACCUGGACAGAAAGACCCUAUGAAGCUUUACUGUAACUUGAAAUUGAAAUUGGACUUUAUUUGCGCAGUAUAGGUGGGAGGCGUUGAAAAUAUUCUUGCGGGAAUAUUGGAGCCAUCAGUGAGAUACCACUCUUGUAAUGUUAGAUUUCUAACUUUAUAUCAUUAUCUGGUUAAAGAACAGUUUCAGGCGGGCAGUUUGACUGGGGCGGUCGCCUCCCAAAUGGUAACGGAGGCGCACAAAGGUUUCCUCUGAACGGGUAGAAAUCGUAUCUAGAGUGUAAAGGCAUAAGGAAGCUUGACUGUGAGACCUACAAGUCGAGCAGGGACGAAAGUCGGUCUUAGUGAUCCGACGGUGCUGAGUGGAAAGGCCGUCACUCAACGGAUAAAAGUUACUCUAGGAUAACAGGCUGAUCUCCCCCAAGAGUUCACAUCGACGGGGAGGUUUGGCACCUCGAUGUCGGCUCAUCGCAUCCUGGGGCGGUAGUACGUCCCAAGGGUUGGGCUGUCCGCCCAUGAAAGCGGUACGCGAGCUGGGUUCAGAACGUCGUGAGACAGUUCGGUCCAUAUCCGGUGUAGGCGUUAGAAUAUUGAGAGGAGCCUUCUUUAGUACGAGAGGACCGAGAAGGACAUACCUCUGGUGUACCAGUUAUCGUGCCAACGGUAAACGCUGGGUAGCUAUGUAUGGAGUGGAUAACCGCUGAAAGCAUCUAAGUGGGAAGCCCACCUCAAGAUAAG
RNAcentral lists this ribosomal RNA (1234 nucleotides) under metagenome. RNAcentral's name for it is "bacterial LSU rRNA". It matches the Rfam family "Bacterial large subunit ribosomal RNA", at positions 1564 to 2808 of the family's 2925-position model. The record is from RNAcentral.